AUACGUAGGGGGCGAGCGUUGUCCGGAAUGACUGGGCGUAAAGCGCGUGUAGGCGGCGGUGUAAGUCUGGAGUGAAAGUCCCGCAUUCAAUGUGGGAAUUGCUUUGGAUACUGCAGUGCUAGAGUGCGGAAGAGGUAAGUGGAAUUCCCAGUGUAGCGGUGAAAUGCGUAGAGAUUGGGAGGAACACCAGUGGCGAAGGCGACUUACUGGGCCGUAACUGACGCUGAGGCGCGAAAGCGUGGGGAGAGAACAGGAUUAGAUACCCUGGUAGUCCACGCUGUAAACGAUGAAUGCUAGGUGUAGCGGGUAUCGACCCCUGCUGUGCCGCAGUAAACACAAUAAGCAUUCCGCCUGGGGAGUACGGCCGCAAGGUUGAAACUCAAAUGAAUUGACGGGG
RNAcentral lists this ribosomal RNA (397 nucleotides) under uncultured bacterium. Its description in RNAcentral is "partial 16S ribosomal RNA". It matches the Rfam family "Bacterial small subunit ribosomal RNA", at positions 523 to 918 of the family's 1533-position model. The record is from RNAcentral.